Unclassified non-coding RNA from Cavia aperea (Brazilian guinea pig), 257 nucleotides. Its record names the gene 7SK. It matches the Rfam family "7SK RNA". From Rfam's summary of the family: 7SK was discovered as an abundant small nuclear RNA in the mid-70s but a possible function has only recently been suggested. Two independent studies have found that 7SK RNA binds the CDK9/cyclin T complex (known as elongation factor P-TEFb). The record is from Ensembl. Lineage: Eukaryota; Metazoa; Chordata; Mammalia; Rodentia; Caviidae.
AUAUUUUUAGGCGUCUCUCUUUCUCCUCUCCCUAACUGCUACAUGUGUGUCGCUCCCAAAGCUAUACACUGGGUCAGAGAGACCACCACCCGUGAUGGAAGAGUACCGUUUCUUCCGACAAGGAAUUCGAGUAGCUGCGCUCCCCUACUAACACCUCCAAACAAGCUCAAAAGUAACAUUAUAUAGUUAAAAGUAACUUUUAAAGAUUCAAUUAAAUGGAACUACAAAAUAUAAGAUGACUUUAUCUUUCUUAUCUU